CUUUGAGCGCUUCCCACAGAUCAUCCACCCUCUGCCUACCUUCACCCUCCCCACCACUCCUCUCUGAGGGGAGAUCGCCUUGCUGCUGCGCAUAGGCUCACAGGGAACCAUGCCCACUCAGGCUAGCCCAUCCUCUGAGAAACACAGCCCUCAGGUCCGAAUACUUAGCUGGCCAUUAGCGAGCUAGUCGGCUGUUAGACUUGUCUGUGCCCUUCCAGAGAUCCUCACUGACUUCUGUCUACAUUGAUCACUUCAUGGAUUGGGGGGACCGGACCCGAGGCCUAGAGAAGUGAAGGGACCUGAGGCCACUAGCAGAAGAGCAUCGUUUGUCUUGUCCCCGCCCACCGGCAUUUUCCUGUGGAGUUCCAGCUAGCAAGCGGCAAGUCCACCGUGACUCCUGGCACCACUUACUCCUGUAGGCUGGAGGCCAGCCAGAAGGCUGUGAGGGGCCAGGUGGGGUCAGGCAUUUGAUUCUGCCUCCUCGUGCUGGGAUCUGCCUGUCCUACUCAGUCUGUCUGCAUGCCAACGUCCCGCCCUGGCCGUGGGUAGCAUGACCUCCACUCUGAUGCCCAUCACUCAAAGCCUUGCUCCCCUCCAUCCUGGCAUGCUGCUCUGGACGGCCAGCACCUCCAAAGGCCUCCCAAGGAGCAGACUUCACAGCUCUACUGUCUGAAACUGUAGGGAGCCGGCACAGGAAGCGGGGAGCAGGAUAAGAUGCUGCCUGGAUGCCUGAGGAGUGUGGCACCGCGGGAAGUACAUGUACAUGGCUCUGUGGGUCCACGGCUGUCCCUACAGGGAGAGUGUGGGUUGGGUGAGUGAGUGUGCGCGCUGCCACGCCAGAAAGAUCUGUAAGGCUCCAAGACUGCCAGCAGCCCUAGUCAGAGUGUGGCAGGGGAGGGGGGUGGGGGCUGCAAUUCCUCUUCCCAGGGCAUGCCCUCCAGCGCCUACCGGGACAUGCCAGGUGAGCCCCUGGCCUGCGGGCUCUCUGAUGAUGAGGACGACUUUCACCCGAGUGCCAGGUCCACGCCCUCAAGCAGCACCCCCAGCUCCCGCCCAGCUUCCCUGGGGUACAGUGGAGCUGCCGGGCCCCGGCCCAUCACCCAGAGCAAGCUGGCCACUGCCCUGGCCCUGGCCAGCACUCCGGAGAGCAGCUCUCACACACCGACUCCUGGUACCCAGGGCCACUCCUCAGGGACCUCCCCAAUGUCCUCCAGCGUCCAGUCAGGGACGCCCAUCACCAACGAUCUCUUCAGCCAAGCCCUGCAGCAUGCCCUGCAGGCCUCAGGGCAGCCCAGCCUUCAGCAUGGCCCCUAAACACCAGUCUCCGCUUCCAUCCCACAUAAAGAAACCAAAACUGACUCCUGCCUCCAGGCCAGACAAAACGUCUCCUCUGAACUUGCUGAAGGAAGAGAAAGAACAGCAAGAAGCAACUGAACAUAUUGAUGGAGUACAAGAUGAAAUAGACAGACUUAGUGAACAAGCCAGUGAGGAGAUUUUGAAAGUCGAACAGAAAUAUAACAAAUUCCGCCAAUAAUUUUUUCAGAAGAAGUUGGAAUUGAUUGCCAAAAUCCCAAAUUUGGGGGUAACAACAUUUGUUAACCAUCCGCAAGCGUCUGCACUGCUUGGGAAGGAAGAUGAGGCGCUGCCUUAUUUGACAAGCGUUGAAGUGACGGAAUUUGAAGAUAUUAAAUCAGGUUACAGAAUAGAUUUUUAUCUUGAUGAAAAUAGAAUAUUAUUUUCACUUACUUUGAAAAUAAAGUUGUCUCCAAACACUUACAUCUACAUGAGAGUGGCGAUCUAUCUUCAAAGUCCACUGAAGUCAAAUGGAAAUCCAGAAAGGAUUUCACUAAGUGAUCAAGUCAAAUGCAGAAGAAAGCCAGCCGGAAGAGACAGCAUGAGGAACCAGAGAGCUUCUUCACCUGGUUUAUUGAUCAUUCUGAUGCAGGUGCAGAUGAGCUAGGAGAGGUCAUCAAAGAUGAUAUUUGGCCAAGUCCGUUACAGUGGUGCUUGUUUCCUGCCAUGGAUGAUGAGGAAGGGGAAGGAGAAGAAGGUGAUGGUGACAGUGAAGAGGAAGAAGGAUUGGAAGAUAUUGAUGAAGGAGAUUAGGAUGAAAGUGAAAAAGAUGAGGCGGAGGAAGAUGAAGGAGACGAGGACUAAUGGAACAUGGAUGGAUUCCAACCUUCCUUUUUAAAUCUUCUCCAGUCCCUGGGAGCAAGUUGAAGUCUUUUUUUUCUCCUCCUGUGCUCACUCACUCUGUUUUUAAGGUCUCUUUUCUCUUUUAUACCAAGGUUCACAACUUAUUUGGGAAUAUCUUGAGCAGAAUUCAAGGGGAAAGGAAUUUCUACCCCUUUCUAUUCCAAAUUCAUUUUUAUCCCUUACUGUCACAACAAAGGCUAUAGAAUCAACACCACCAUGCUCUGUGGGAAAAAAGAAAAACCUUCUGCUCUCCUGGCUCUGCUGGAAGCUGGAGGGUCCUAGGCCUCUGUGUGAUAGUGCAUAGAAUAGUGCCUUUCCCCCUCCUUUCUCUGUAUAUUGUGUUCAGAGACUACAUUGUGUCUCUACGUGAAUAUGGACAGUUAGCAUUUACCAAUAUAUGUCUGUCUACUUUCUCUUUUUAAAAAAGAAAAAAGACUUUUUAAAAAUGGGGUUAUAGAAGGUCAGCAAAAGGUGGGUUUGAGAUGUUUGGGUGGGUUAAGUGAGUAUUUUGACAACAUGGCUACUCCUUUGGCAUGUUAAAUUGUGAUGUUUAAUGGAUGUACUUUCAGUUUAAGAUGACACUUUUGAAACAAAAAAGUGAAAGUGAAAGUCACUCAGUUGUGUCGGACUCUUUGCGACUAUACAGUCCAAGGAAUUCUCCAGGCCAGAAUACUGGAGUGGGUAACCUUUCCCUUCUCCAGGGGAUCUUCCCAGCUCAAGGAUCAAACCCAGGUCUCCUGCAUUGCAGGUAGAUUCUUUACCAGCUGAGCUACCAGGGAAACUCCCCUUUUAAAACAAAAUUCUCUCCUAAUAACUUGAGCCCUGCCUCUAGAUGGGAGAAUCAACAGGACCUAUAGGAAGUUACCUGCAAUUGACAUUCCCUAUUGUAAUUUUGUUCCUGUAUAUUUUUAAAUGUUUCUUUUUGCUUCACUGAAAAGUAAAAAUGAUGCUCAGUUUUUAAUGUUAAAAGUGUACAAGUUGCUUUGUUACAAUAAAACUAAAUGUGUU
RNAcentral lists this long non-coding RNA (3204 nucleotides) under Capra hircus (goat). Its description in RNAcentral is "lncRNA (ENSCHIG00000005427.1)". The record is from RNAcentral. Lineage: Eukaryota; Metazoa; Chordata; Mammalia; Artiodactyla; Bovidae.